This 400-nucleotide ribosomal RNA is filed under the name uncultured bacterium. RNAcentral's name for it is "bacterial SSU rRNA". It matches the Rfam family "Bacterial small subunit ribosomal RNA", at positions 30 to 429 of the family's 1533-position model. The record is from RNAcentral.
AUUGAACGCUGGCGGCAUGCCUUACACAUGCAAGUCGAACGGCAGCACGGGAGCAAUCCUGGUGGCGAGUGGCGAACGGGUGAGUAAUAUAUCGGAACGUGCCCAGUCGUGGGGGAUAACGUAGCGAAAGCUACGCUAAUACCGCAUACGAUCUAUGGAUGAAAGCGGGGGAUCGCAAGACCUCGCGCGAUUGGAGCGGCCGAUAUCAGAUUAGGUAGUUGGUGAGGUAAAGGCUCACCAAGCCGACGAUCUGUAGCUGGUCUGAGAGGACGACCAGCCACACUGGGACUGAGACACGGCCCAGACUCCUACGGGAGGCAGCAGUGGGGGAAUUUUUGGGACAAUGGGCGCAAGCCUGAUCCAGCAAUGCCGCGUGCAGGAUGAAGGCCUCGGUUGUAAC